Molecule: transfer RNA, 69 nt
Filed under: Acidimicrobiia bacterium
Lineage: Bacteria; Bacillati; Actinomycetota; Acidimicrobiia
Description: tRNA-Met
Rfam family: tRNA
About the family: Transfer RNA (tRNA) molecules are approximately 80 nucleotides in length. Their secondary structure includes four short double-helical elements and three loops (D, anti-codon, and T loops). Further hydrogen bonds mediate the characteristic L-shaped molecular structure. tRNAs have two regions of fundamental functional importance: the anti-codon, which is responsible for specific mRNA codon recognition, and the 3' end, to which the tRNAs corresponding amino acid is attached (by aminoacyl-tRNA synthetases). tRNAs cope with the degeneracy of the genetic code in two manners: having more than one tRNA (with a specific anti-codon) for a particular amino acid; and 'wobble' base-pairing, i.e. permitting non-standard base-pairing at the 3rd anti-codon position.
Source: RNAcentral
GUAGCCCUUGGGACCACAAUCAGCGGACUCAUUAUCCGUAGGUCGCAGGUUCGAGUCCUGCCGGGCCCA